UACGGAGGGUGCAAGCGUUAAUCGGAAUUACUGGGCGUAAAGCGUGCGCAGGCGGCUUUGCAAGACAGAUGUGAAAUCCCCGGGCUCAACCUGGGAACUGCAUUUGUGACUGCAAGGCUAGAGUACGGUAGAGGGGGAUGGAAUUCCGCGUGUAGCAGUGAAAUGCGUAGAUAUGCGGAGGAACACCAAUGGCGAAGGCAAUCCCCUGGACCUGUACUGACGCUCAUGCACGAAAGCGUGGGGAGCAAACAGG
RNAcentral lists this ribosomal RNA (253 nucleotides) under uncultured bacterium. RNAcentral describes it as "partial 16S ribosomal RNA". It matches the Rfam family "Bacterial small subunit ribosomal RNA", at positions 524 to 776 of the family's 1533-position model. The record is from RNAcentral.